RNAcentral lists this ribosomal RNA (387 nucleotides) under uncultured delta proteobacterium. RNAcentral describes it as "bacterial SSU rRNA". It matches the Rfam family "Bacterial small subunit ribosomal RNA", at positions 991 to 1382 of the family's 1533-position model. Lineage: Bacteria; Deltaproteobacteria. The record is from RNAcentral.
CUGACAGUCCGAAACGGAUCUCCCGCAAGGGACGAGCGAGACAGGUGCUGCAUGGCUGUCGUCAGCUCGUGUCGUGAGAUGUGGGUUAAGUCCCGCAACGAGCGCAACCCUCAUCCUUAGUUGCCAUUAUUGAGUUGGGAACUCUAAGGAAACUGCCUCGGUUAACGGGAGGAAGGUGGGGAUGACGUCAAGUCCUCAUGGCCUUUAUGUCCAGGGCUACACACGUGCUACAAUGGGCGGAACAAAGGGUUGCAAUACCGCAAGGUGGAGCUAAUCUCAAAAAACCGCUCUCAGUUCAGAUUGGAGUCUGCAACUCGACUCCAUGAAGGCGGGAAUCGCUAGUAAUCGCGGAUCUAGCAUGCCGCGGUGAAUACGUUCCCGGGCCUU